This 72-nucleotide transfer RNA is filed under the name Burmannia oblonga. RNAcentral describes it as "tRNA-Gln". It matches the Rfam family "tRNA". Rfam says of the family: Transfer RNA (tRNA) molecules are approximately 80 nucleotides in length. Their secondary structure includes four short double-helical elements and three loops (D, anti-codon, and T loops). Further hydrogen bonds mediate the characteristic L-shaped molecular structure. tRNAs have two regions of fundamental functional importance: the anti-codon, which is responsible for specific mRNA codon recognition, and the 3' end, to which the tRNAs corresponding amino acid is attached (by aminoacyl-tRNA synthetases). tRNAs cope with the degeneracy of the genetic code in two manners: having more than one tRNA (with a specific anti-codon) for a particular amino acid; and 'wobble' base-pairing, i.e. permitting non-standard base-pairing at the 3rd anti-codon position. Lineage: Eukaryota; Viridiplantae; Streptophyta; Magnoliopsida; Dioscoreales; Burmanniaceae. The record is from RNAcentral.
UGGGAUGUGGCCAAAUGGUAAGGCAACAGAGUUUGGCCCUGUUAUUUGUGGGUUCAAAUCCUUCCGUCCCAG